This 468-nucleotide ribosomal RNA is filed under the name uncultured bacterium. Its description in RNAcentral is "partial 16S ribosomal RNA". It matches the Rfam family "Bacterial small subunit ribosomal RNA", at positions 28 to 507 of the family's 1533-position model. The record is from RNAcentral.
GACGAACGCUGGCGGCGUGCUUAACACAUGCAAGUCGAACGGAAGGGCCCUACUUUUGUGGGGUGCUCGAUUGCCGAACGCGGGAGUGACACGUGUGUAUCCUGCCCUUGACUUUCGGGUAACUUCACGAAACUGGGGCUAAUAUCGUAUAGGAUCUCCUGCUCCGUGGUGGGCGUUGGAAAGUUUCGGCGGUUGGGGAUGGACUCGCCGCUUAUGAGCUUGUUGGUGGGGUAGUUGCUUACCAAGGCUUUGACGGGUACCCGGCCUGAGAGGGUGACCGGCCACAUUGGGACUGAGAUAGGGCCCAGACUCCUACGGGAGGCAGCAGUGGGGAAUAUUGCACAAUGGGCGGAAGCCUGAUGCAGCAACGCCGAGUGCGGGAUGACGGCCUUCGGGUUGUAAACCGCUUUCGCAUGUGACGAAGCGUGAGUGACGGUAAUGGGUAAAGAAGCAACGGCUAACUACGUG